GUUUCACUACUUCCGUCGCGNGNGUCNUUCUUUAACACAUNACCAAUNCGAACGAUGAUGCCCAGCUUGCUGGGUGGAUUAGUGGCGAACGGGUGAGUAACACGUGAGUAACCUGCCCCUGACUCUGGGAUAAGCGUUGGAAACGACGUCUAAUACUGGAUAUGAUCACUGGCCGCAUGGUCUGGUGGUGGAAAGAUUUUUUGGUUGGGGAUGGACUCNCNGCCUAUCAGCUUGUUGGUGAGGUAAUGGCUCACCAAGGCGACGACGGGUAGCCCGCCUGAGAGGGUGACGGGCCACACUGGGACUGANACACGGCCCAGACUCCUACGGGAGGCAGCAGUGGGGAAUAUUGCACAAUGGGCGAAAGCCUGAUGCAGCANCGCCGCNUGAGGGAUGACGGCCUUCGGNUUGUAAACCUCUUUUANUAGGGAAGAAGCGAAAGUGACGGUACCUGCAAAAAAAGCACCGGCUAACUACNUGCCCGCAACCNCGGUAAUACGUAUGGUGCAAGCGUUCUCCGGAAUUAUUGGGCAUAAAGAGCUCNUAAGCCGUUUGUCCCGUCCGCNGUGAAAUCCCCGAGGCCUCAACCCU
Molecule: ribosomal RNA, 591 nt
Filed under: bacterium E10
Lineage: Bacteria
Description: partial 16S ribosomal RNA gene
Rfam family: Bacterial small subunit ribosomal RNA
Source: RNAcentral